GUAAUUCUUUCGUCGCCUCGAUCAUUAAAUGAUGUUUUUGACAUGAAGAAGAUUGAUUAUAGUGUUUCUUAUUGUCAUCCGGUGUGAAUUAGGAGUCCUGGAGUUUGCAUUGUAACUUUUUUGCUGGAUCAAGAUCAUAGUUCCAUCACAAAACACUGAAUCUUUAUCUGAUCACCAGUUUUCUUAACCUUACCGCGUAACUAAAAAGGAGUUGAUGCCUGCCUCUCUUACUGUGUCAGGAAACCAAGCUUCCGAGAGUGCCACUAGAUUUAUGGUUUUGAAGCAUCACUCACGAUUGACGAAAACCAAAACAUAGGAGACCGGAUUCUCUUCUCUCUCUUCCAUAGCUCGAUUUGUCGGACUCGUACGAAGACUGUUUGGUUUGGAGAUCUCUCGAGCCUCGGACUUCAUUUAAGAAGCUGGUUUUCAAUACGAAGGGGAAGAGUAGCACAUCGAUCUCGAAACCAUUAUUGAAGAAAAAUCUGCUCGUGG
Molecule: long non-coding RNA, 492 nt
Filed under: Musa acuminata (dwarf banana)
Lineage: Eukaryota; Viridiplantae; Streptophyta; Magnoliopsida; Zingiberales; Musaceae
Description: long non-coding RNA (MACU_LNC004855)
Source: RNAcentral